RNAcentral lists this ribosomal RNA (472 nucleotides) under uncultured bacterium. RNAcentral's name for it is "bacterial SSU rRNA". It matches the Rfam family "Bacterial small subunit ribosomal RNA", at positions 29 to 506 of the family's 1533-position model. The record is from RNAcentral.
AUGAACGCUGGCGGCGUGGUUAAGGCAUGCAAGUCGAACGAGUUAGUUUGAGAUUAUAUCAAUGGCUAACUAGUGGCAAACGGGUGAGUAACACAUUGGUAACCUACCUUCGAGUCGGGCAUAAUUCGCCGAAAGGCGAACUAAUUCCCGAUGGAAAUGGGGGGACAUAAGUCAUUCCCAUUUAAAGUUCCAAAAGAAUGCUCGAAGAGGGGCCUAUGGUCUAUCAGCUAGUUGGUGAGGUAACGGCUCACCAAGGCUAUGACGGAUAACGGGUGUGAGAGCACGACCCGUCUCACUGGGACUGAGACACUGCCCAGACUCCUACGGGAGGCUGCAGUCGCGAAUCUUCCCCAAUGGACGAAAGUCUGAGGGAGCGACGCCGCGUGUAGGAUGAAGGUUUUCGGAUUGUAAACUACUUUUGCAGGGGACGAAUUCUGACGGUACCCUGCGAAUAAGAGGUUGCUAACUCUGU